UGGUAAAAAGCCUAUCCAUUUUUCUGUUAAAAACUAGUGUAACUAAUAAAAUAAUCAAACAAUUACACGUGACAUACUAUGUGUACCUCAUUUUAGUGCACAAAAACUAGUUUUUAACCGUAAAAAUGGAUAAAAUUUUUAAUU
Gossypium hirsutum (cotton) is the source of this 144-nucleotide non-coding RNA. The record is from Rfam. Lineage: Eukaryota; Viridiplantae; Streptophyta; Magnoliopsida; Malvales; Malvaceae.